Molecule: long non-coding RNA, 432 nt
Organism: Physeter macrocephalus (sperm whale)
Lineage: Eukaryota; Metazoa; Chordata; Mammalia; Artiodactyla; Physeteridae
Exons: 3
Source: RefSeq, a predicted model, not a curated record
GCGGCGGCGGCGGCGAUGGCGGCGCUGCGGGGACCUGCCGGGCGCUUCCGGUGGCGCGUGCGGGCCGUGCCGGGCGGAGCGCGGGGCGCGGCAGGGCGGCAAUGCUAUGACCUCCUGGUGAUUGGCGGGGGAUCCGGCGGCCUAGCCUGUGCCAAGGAAGAGCACAAUUAUUUGGAGAUUCAUCUGUGUUGCUGUGUGUAUCCAGAGUUCAUGCCUUUUCAUUACUGAUAAGUAUUCCACUGUAUGUCUAGACUACAUUUGGUUGGUUCAUUCGCCUGUGGAUUGGGUUGUUUCCAGUUUUUGGCUGUUGUGAACUGUGCUGCUAUGAACAUUCGCGUGUGUGUGUGUCUUUGUGUGGAUGUGUGUUUUAAAUCUCUUGGAUAAUCUCCUAAAAGUGGAACAGCUGGGUCAUGUGGUAUAUCUCUCAUUUAG